AAGUCGUAACAAGGUUUCCGUAGGUGAACCUGCGGAAGGAUCAUUAUUGAAUGAAUUUGGAGUCGGUUGUCGCUGGCUGUCUUUGCAGCAUGUGCACGCCUUCUCUUUUCAUCCACACACCCCUGUGCACUUGUGAGACUGGAGACCGUAAAAAGUCUUCAGUCUGCUAAAUUUACAUACAAACUCAUUUAAUUGAACUGAAUGUACUUGAUGUAACGCAUCAUUAAACUAAGUUUCAACAACGGAUCUCUUGGCUCUC
This 259-nucleotide unclassified non-coding RNA is filed under the name fungal sp. RNAcentral's name for it is "partial internal transcribed spacer region". The stretch from base 1 to 46 matches the Rfam family "Eukaryotic small subunit ribosomal RNA", at positions 1786 to 1831 of the family's 1831-position model. The record is from RNAcentral. Lineage: Eukaryota; Fungi.